GACGAACGCUGGCGGCGUGCUUAACACAUGCAAGUCGAACGAAAAUACCAAGCUUGCUUGGUUGUUUAGUGGCGAACGGGUGAGUAACACGUGAGUAACCUGCCCCUUACUUUCCUUGAUAACUUCUCGAAAGGGUAGCUAAUACGGGAUAUUCUGACCAGCCUGCUUGGGUUGGUUUGGAAAGGUUGUUUUUCUGGUAAGGGAUGGGCUCGCGGCCUAUCAGCUUGUUGGUGGGGUGAUGGCCUACCAAGGCUUUGACGGGUAGCCGGCCUGAGAGGGUGGAAGGUGAGACGGGGACUGAGAUACGGACCAGAAUGCGACGGGAGGGAGCAGUGGGGAAUAUUGCACAAUGGGCGAAAGCCUGAUGCAGCGACGCCGCGUGAGGGAUGAAGGCGUUCGGGUUGUAAACCUCUUUGGCAAGGGAACAAGGCACUGCUUUUUUGGUGGUGUUGAGGGUACCUGGAUAAGAAGCGCCGGCUAACUACGUG
This 488-nucleotide ribosomal RNA is filed under the name uncultured bacterium. Its description in RNAcentral is "partial 16S ribosomal RNA". It matches the Rfam family "Bacterial small subunit ribosomal RNA", at positions 28 to 507 of the family's 1533-position model. The record is from RNAcentral.